This 487-nucleotide ribosomal RNA is filed under the name uncultured bacterium. Its description in RNAcentral is "bacterial SSU rRNA". It matches the Rfam family "Bacterial small subunit ribosomal RNA", at positions 9 to 518 of the family's 1533-position model. The record is from RNAcentral.
AGAGUUGAUCCUGGCUAGGACGAACGCUGGCGGCAUGCCUAACACAUGCAAGUCGAACGGAAGUAGAAAUACUUUAGUGGCGAACGGGUGAGUAACACGUGAGCAACCUGCCUUAUACACAGGGAUAACAGUUGGAAACGACUGCUAAUACCGGAUAAGGCCACACUAUGGCAUCAUAGAGGGGUACAAAGCGAAUAAGCGGUAUAAGAUGGGCUCGCGUCCAAUUAGCUAGUUGGUGAGGUAACGGCCCACCAAGGCGACGAUUGGUAGCCGACUUGAGAGAGUGAUCGGCCACACUGGAACUGAGACACGGUCCAGACUCCUACGGGAGGCAGCAGGUGGGGAAUAUUGGGCAAUGGAGGAACUCUUACCCAGACAAUGCCGCGUGAGUGAUGAAGGUCUUUGGAUUGUAAAGCUCUUUGAUUGGGGACGAAUAAAUGACGGUACCCAAAGAACAAGCCCCGGCUAACUAUGUGCCAGCAGCCGC